GCUGUGAUGGCCGAGUGGUUAAGGCGUUGGACUCGAAAUCCAAUGGGGUCUCCCCGCGCAGGUUCGAUCCCAGCUUGCAGCA
Molecule: transfer RNA, 82 nt
Filed under: Saccoglossus kowalevskii
Lineage: Eukaryota; Metazoa; Hemichordata; Enteropneusta; Harrimaniidae
Description: tRNA-Ser
Rfam family: tRNA
About the family: Transfer RNA (tRNA) molecules are approximately 80 nucleotides in length. Their secondary structure includes four short double-helical elements and three loops (D, anti-codon, and T loops).
Source: RNAcentral